GAUAGCUCAGUAGGAUAGAGCGGGUGCCUCCUAAGCACCAGGCCAUCGGUUCGAUUCCGGUUC
RNAcentral lists this transfer RNA (63 nucleotides) under Ruminococcus sp. RNAcentral describes it as "tRNA-Arg". It matches the Rfam family "tRNA", at positions 6 to 65 of the family's 71-position model. Rfam says of the family: Transfer RNA (tRNA) molecules are approximately 80 nucleotides in length. The record is from RNAcentral. Lineage: Bacteria; Bacillati; Bacillota; Clostridia; Eubacteriales; Oscillospiraceae.